RNAcentral lists this ribosomal RNA (405 nucleotides) under uncultured bacterium. RNAcentral's name for it is "partial 16S ribosomal RNA". It matches the Rfam family "Bacterial small subunit ribosomal RNA", at positions 28 to 526 of the family's 1533-position model. The record is from RNAcentral.
GACGAACGCUGGCGGCGUGCUUAACACAUGCAAGUCGAACGAAGUGGCGAACGGGUGAGUAAUACGUGGUUAACUGCCCUCCUUUUUGGGAUAAACCUUGGAAACGGGGUCUAAUACCGAAUAAAGGGGGAUGGCUCGCGGCCUAUCAGCUUGUUGGUGGGGUAGUGGCCUACCAAGGCGACGACGGGUAGCCGGCCUGAGAGGGCGACCGGCCAAAUGGGGCUGAGAGACGGCCCAAACUCUGACGGGGGGCAGCAGUGGGGAAUAUUUCACAAGGGGGUAAACCCUGAUGCAGCAACGUCGGGUGCGGGAUGACGGCCUUCGUGUUGUAAACCGCUUUCAGCCAUGACGCGGUAGUGGCAGAAGAAGCACCGGCUAACUACGGGCCAGCAGCCGCGGUAAUAC